CAAGAGCGUAUAUUAAAGUUGUUGCAGUUAAAAAGCUCGUAGUUGGAUUUCUGGUACAAUGCGCCUGGCCCGCGACCGUUAGGUCUGUGAGUGCCGGUGCGCGUUUGCCAUCCUUCUAGAAAACGUUUCUACCCUUCACUGGGCCGGACUCGCGAUCUAGAUCUUUUACUUUGAAAAAAUUAGAGUGUUUAAAGCAGGCUUUUGCUGUGAAUACAUUAGCAUGGAAUAAUAAUCUAGGACUUCGGUUCUAUUUUGUUGGUUUCUAGUACUGAAGUAAUGAUUGAUAGGGAUAGUUGGGGGUGCUAGUAUUGGCCGGCCAGGGGUGAAAUUCUUGGAUUCGGUCAAGACUAACUUAUGCGAAAGCAUUCACCAAGGAUGUCUUCUUUAA
RNAcentral lists this ribosomal RNA (388 nucleotides) under uncultured eukaryote. RNAcentral's name for it is "partial 18S ribosomal RNA". It matches the Rfam family "Eukaryotic small subunit ribosomal RNA", at positions 592 to 976 of the family's 1831-position model. The record is from RNAcentral.